This is a long non-coding RNA of Trachemys scripta elegans, 192 nucleotides long. RefSeq lists it as uncharacterized. The record is from RefSeq and is a predicted model, not a curated record. The transcript has 3 exons. NCBI's taxonomy places the organism in Eukaryota, Metazoa, Chordata, Testudines, Emydidae.
UCAUCAUUGACCGUGUCGAGAAGAGCCAGCCAGCGCAGCCACAUGCAGCUUUGGGCUGAUGUCCACAAACUAGGGAAAAAGCUACAGGAAUGCAAACUGGCUUUUGGUGUCGAAGAUGAGAUUUUCAGAAAGAUGAAACACCAAACCCGAGAAUUGAAGGAAUCCAUAAAAGAAUAUGAGGCAGUAAUCCAG